UGAGGAACAUGACCUUCGGCGGGGGAUAGCCGGCCCAACGGCCGGGUAAUACCGCGUACGACCACAUGGGGACAUCCCUGAGUGGUGAAAGCAGCAAUGCGCCGAUGGAGUGCCUCGCGGCCUAUCAGCUAGUUGGCGAGGUAACGGCUCACCAAGGCGACGACGGGUAGUCGGUCUGAGAGGAUGGCCAGCCACAUUGGGACUGAGACACGGCCCAGACUCCUAGGGAGG
RNAcentral lists this ribosomal RNA (231 nucleotides) under uncultured bacterium. RNAcentral describes it as "partial 16S ribosomal RNA". It matches the Rfam family "Bacterial small subunit ribosomal RNA", at positions 118 to 348 of the family's 1533-position model. The record is from RNAcentral.